UACGUAGGGACCAAGCGUUGUUCGGAUUUACUGGGCGUAAAGGGCGCGUAGGCGGCCCUCUAAGUCAGACGUGAAAUCCCCCGGCUUAACCUGGGAACUGCGUCUGAUACUGGAGGGCUUGAGUGCGGGAGAGGGAUGUGGAAUUCCAGGUGUAGCGGUGAAAUGCGUAGAUAUCUGGAGGAACACCGGUGGCGAAGGCGGCAUCCUGGACCGACACUGACGCUGAGGCGCGAAAGCUAGGGUAGCAAACGGG
RNAcentral lists this ribosomal RNA (253 nucleotides) under uncultured bacterium. RNAcentral describes it as "partial 16S ribosomal RNA". It matches the Rfam family "Bacterial small subunit ribosomal RNA", at positions 524 to 776 of the family's 1533-position model. The record is from RNAcentral.